Molecule: transfer RNA, 87 nt
Filed under: Kiritimatiellia bacterium
Lineage: Bacteria; Pseudomonadati; Kiritimatiellota; Kiritimatiellia
Description: Kiritimatiellae bacterium (gut metagenome) tRNA-Ser
Rfam family: tRNA
About the family: Transfer RNA (tRNA) molecules are approximately 80 nucleotides in length. Their secondary structure includes four short double-helical elements and three loops (D, anti-codon, and T loops). Further hydrogen bonds mediate the characteristic L-shaped molecular structure. tRNAs have two regions of fundamental functional importance: the anti-codon, which is responsible for specific mRNA codon recognition, and the 3' end, to which the tRNAs corresponding amino acid is attached (by aminoacyl-tRNA synthetases). tRNAs cope with the degeneracy of the genetic code in two manners: having more than one tRNA (with a specific anti-codon) for a particular amino acid; and 'wobble' base-pairing, i.e. permitting non-standard base-pairing at the 3rd anti-codon position.
Source: RNAcentral
GGAGAUUUGCCGGAGCGGUUUAACGGAACUGUCUUGAAAACAGUCGACGUCCUUCGACGUCCGGGGGUUCGAAUCCCUCAAUCUCCG